UGGGGAAUAUUGCACAAUGGGCGAAAGCCUGAUGCAGCGACGCCGCGUGAGGGAUGACGGCCUUCGGGUUGUAAACCUCUUUCAGCAGGGAAGAAGCGAAAGUGACGGUACCUGCAGAAGAAGCGCCGGCUAACUACGUGCCAGCAGCCGCGGUAAUACGUAGGGCGCAAGCGUUGUCCGGAAUUAUUGGGCGUAAAGAGCUCGUAGGCGGUUAGUCGCGUCUGCUGUGAAAACUCGAGGCUCAACCUCGGGCUUGCAGUGGGUACGGGCUGACUAGAGUGCGGUAGGGGUGACUGGAAUUCCUGGUGUAGCGGUGGAAUGCGCAGAUAUCAGGAGGAACACCGAUGGCGAAGGCAGGUCACUGGGCCGCAACUGACGCUGAGGAGCGAAAGCAUGGGGAGCGAACAGGAUUAGAUAGCCCUGGUAGUCCAUGCCGUAAACGUUGGGCACUAGGUGUGGGUCCAUUCCACGGAUUCCGUGCCGCAGCAAAGCGCAUUAAGUGCCCCGCCUGGGGAGUACGCCGCAAGGCUAAAACUCAAAUGAAUUGACGGGGUCAUAGCUG
This 562-nucleotide ribosomal RNA is filed under the name uncultured bacterium. RNAcentral describes it as "partial 16S ribosomal RNA". It matches the Rfam family "Bacterial small subunit ribosomal RNA", at positions 355 to 932 of the family's 1533-position model. The record is from RNAcentral.